RNAcentral lists this long non-coding RNA (1145 nucleotides) under Homo sapiens (human). RNAcentral's name for it is "novel transcript". Lineage: Eukaryota; Metazoa; Chordata; Mammalia; Primates; Hominidae. The record is from RNAcentral.
CUUUCUUAGGGCUGAUAUGACAAUUGCUGGCACUGCGUAAUUGCUGUGUGGCUACUUGAAAACUUCUCCACUAGAGACUCACUGAGAGCACCUAUUCUGUUGAAUGGAUUUGGCACAAGGAGGAGGAGAGAAGACAAAUGGCCUGGGCUGGUAAGAGACAAAAGUGCCGUGUGUGAGUCUUGGCCCACCUACCUGCUGUGAGACUCUGGGCAAAUCACCUGGUCCCUCUCUUCCCACAUCUUCUGAUGAGCCUUGCUGCCUAUUUCCUGAGUAGCUCAGUGGCCACCAGAGACCCCAGGCUCUUUAUCAACAUUUCAAGAUUGUAUUAGCCCAGAGACCAUGUCCCAACAAAAUGCCACCAGGAACUCAUGUGGGACGGAGCUGGAAGAUGCCAGCGGUUGCCCCUUCCCCAUGUUAGUGCCUCUUUUCUCCGCACCAACCCUCAGUUCACACCAGAAUGAGACUGCCUGCAUUCACUUUCUGCUCUUACUUCAGAGAAUGUGGCUUAUUCUCAGGCAAUGAACCAGAGGACAACAGACAUUUUCUUUGAGGGAAAUGCAACUUUUUGAAAUUAAAAGGGCAUUUUGUUUUAAUUGAAGAACAUUCAGAUCAGAAACUGGGUUAAAAAUAAACACUGCAGAGCCAGACACAGUGGCUCAGGCCUGUAAUCUUAGCAUUUUGGGAGGCCAAGGCAGGUGGAUCACUUGAGGCCAGGAGUUCAAGACCAGCCUGGCCAACAUGGCAAAAGCCAUCUCUACUAAAAAUAUAAAAAUUAGCAGGGCAUGGUGGCAUCGGCCUGUAAUCCCAGCUACCUGGGAGGCCGAGGCAUGAGAAUCGCUUGAACCUGGGAAGCGGAGGUUGCAGUGAGCCGAGAUCAUGCCACCACACUCCAGCCUGGGCAACAGAGCGAGACUCUGUCUCAAAAUAAAAUAAAAUAAAAUAAUAAGUAAACCCUGCAGAAUCUGAGAGAACAGAGCUCUCGAUGUGGGGGUCUGAUCAGUUUUCCAAGCGUCAACAGACUGGUCCUUCCUAGGAUGCGUGUUUCUUCUGCGGUCGUGUUUACACAUUGGUUUCUGGCAAGAGCAAAGUGUUUGCUUGUGACCUUAAAUAAAAUGCAGACAUCACCUCACUGAGUCUCAUCAAAA